This 446-nucleotide ribosomal RNA is filed under the name Tethysbaena argentarii. Its description in RNAcentral is "partial 16S ribosomal RNA". It matches the Rfam family "Archaeal large subunit ribosomal RNA", at positions 1924 to 2669 of the family's 2987-position model. Lineage: Eukaryota; Metazoa; Arthropoda; Malacostraca; Thermosbaenacea; Monodellidae. The record is from RNAcentral.
GGCUUUAAGUUUAAUUUAAGGUCAGGCCUGCUCACUGAGUAUUUAAAGAGCCGCAGUAUUUUGACUGUGUUAAGGUAGCAUAAUCAUUAGUUUCUUAAUUAGAAGCUUGUAUGAAAGGUUUGAUGAGGGAAGAACUGUCUUAUUAAAUAUCAGUGAAUUUUAAGUCUUUGAAAGAAUUCUUAGAUGGGCUAGAGGGACGAUAAGACCCUAUAAAUCUUAUGGGCUGGGGCGGUUUAUAUAAAAUGGAUCUGUAUAGUAAAGAACAUUAAUUUAUGAUUUUAUUGAACUUUUAUUAGAGUAAAAAAUAAGUUACUUUAGGGAUAACAGCACAAUCCUUUUUUGGAGCUCGAAUCUACAAGAGGGAUUGUGACCUCGAUGUUGAAUUACUAAUUUUUUUAUGUGCAGAGGCAUAAAUAAAGAGUCUGUUCGACUUUUAAUAUAGUACA